AUAUCGUUUCCCAAGAGACUUGUGUAACUAGACAAUCGUAUAAUUUCUAACUAACCUAGACUAAAGAAUGUUUCCAUAAUUUGAGUUUUGGUGAAAUUUAAUUAACUAUAAAGCAUAAAUGAUAAAAGUGAUCUUAAGCACUCAAACACUUUGAAAUGGAGAGAUUAUAAAUGCAAUGGAAUGAUAUUGUUGGGGUAUGAUUUCACCUACUUCACUCUUAUGCAUAGAAAAUCACUUCCUCUUCAUUGAUGUGUCAAUGUCAAUCUACUAAUUUACUCAAACCCCAAUCCCUUGGUAGAAUGAGCCUAGACUUCCUCAUUAGACUCCAAUCCCUUGGAAAACCUAAUGAUUAAUUCCGCAUUAAGAAAUGAGAUUUUAAGACAUCCAAAGGUCCUAGUUCUAUCCCUAGAUACUAUUUCCUUUAGGUGUUUAACCCAAGUCAAGGUUUACCCAAUAUUUCCCAAUAUCAAGAAACCCUAAAUCAUGUUAUGGUUAGCAACUUCACAACAAGCAUUAAGAAAAGAAAUUAAACACUAACAAUCAAUGAAAGAGGUAUAUAUUCAUUCAAAACAACAUGCUUUACAUAAGAGUUUAGUGGUUACAUCAAUCCCCCAACAAUAAUGAAACUAGCUCUCCAUGAAUGGAGAGCUCAAGCUUACAACAAUGGUGGAAAUGGAAGAAAGAAGAGAACCCAAGGAAGAAGAAGGGUUGUUCCCACAGCUCCUAGCUCGUCCCAAGAGCUCCCAAUCAGAGGAAAUGCGUCUGGGUAGCAAAAGAUACAAAGGCCCUCGCAUUUUAGGUCUAAAAAGACCUAAUUUUUCCACAUCAGCAUUGCCACCGCUUAGCUGCACCCCAGCUGCAGCCUUCCAGAAAGCUGGGCGCUCAGCUGCACCUCAGCUGCACCCCAGCUUCAGCCUUCCAGAGAGCUGGGCGCUCAGCUGCACCCCAGCUGCACCCCAGCUGCAGCCUUCCAGAGAGUAGGGCGCUCAGCUGCACCCCAGCUACAGCCUUACAGAGAGCAGGGCGCUCAGCUGCACCCCAGCUGCACCCCAGCUUCAGCCUUCCAGAGGAGAAUGGGGCUCAGCUGCACCCCAACUGCACCCCAGCGGCAGCAACAGUCUUUACUCAAUAUUUCCUCUUUUACAUUCAUUCUUGCUUCUGUGGUUCUUCCAUUCGUCGGUUUGGCCAACAAGCUUCAUGUACAUGAUCUAACAACCAAAAAGUGGGGAUUAGUUAAACAAUUUAAAUGAAUUCAACUAAAGAUGUAGUUACUUAGAAACUUAACAAAUUGAGGCAUAAGGAAGGUAUAAAGCUAAGAAAGAGUUGACAUUUUCUCUCAAUUCACUACUGAAAUCAUAGCAAAAUAUGUCAUUAUCACUACUCUCACUAAAUAACUCAUCCCUCUCUACUUGAGAAUAAAUGAUCAUUAGAGUGUCAUAAUAGACCAUCAGUUCAAAUCUCCACACAUUCAUGCAACAACAACAUCCAAGGCACUACCAUGAAAUCUCUCCACGAGUCAUGGAAUUAUGUCC
This 1532-nucleotide long non-coding RNA is filed under the name Vigna radiata. RNAcentral's name for it is "long non-coding RNA (VRAD_LNC010493)". The record is from RNAcentral. Lineage: Eukaryota; Viridiplantae; Streptophyta; Magnoliopsida; Fabales; Fabaceae.